RNAcentral lists this ribosomal RNA (259 nucleotides) under uncultured bacterium. Its description in RNAcentral is "partial 16S ribosomal RNA". It matches the Rfam family "Bacterial small subunit ribosomal RNA", at positions 95 to 354 of the family's 1533-position model. The record is from RNAcentral.
UUGGCGGACGGGUGAGUAACGCGUGGGGAACCUGCCCUGUACAGGGGGAUAACACUUAGAAAUAGGUGCUAAUACCGCAUAAGCGCACAGUAUCGCAUGAUACAGUGUGAAAAACUCCGGUGGUACAGGAUGGACCCGCGUCUGAUUAGCUGGUUGGCGGGGUAACGGCCCACCAAGGCGACGAUCAGUAGCCGGCCUGAGAGGGUGGACGGCCACAUUGGGACUGAGACACGGCCCAAACUCCUACGGAAGGCAGCAG